This 373-nucleotide ribosomal RNA is filed under the name uncultured bacterium. RNAcentral's name for it is "bacterial SSU rRNA". It matches the Rfam family "Bacterial small subunit ribosomal RNA", at positions 527 to 896 of the family's 1533-position model. The record is from RNAcentral.
GGGGGGAGCAAGCGUUGUUCGGAUUUACUGGGCGUAAAGGGCGCGUAGGCGGCCAGCGCAAGUCAGUUGUGAAAUCUCCGGGCUUAACUCGGAAAGGUCAACUGAUACUGCGCGGCUAGAGUGCGGAAGGGGCAACUGGAAUUCUCGGUGUAGCGGUGAAAUGCGUAGAUAUCGAGAGGAACACCUGCGGCGAAGGCGGGUUGCUGGGCCGACACUGUCGCUGAGGCGCGAAAGCCAGGGGAGCGAACGGGAUUAGAUACCCCGGUAGUCCUGGCCUUAAACGAUGGAUGCUUGGUGUCUGGGGUUUUAUAGUCCCCGGGUGCCGCAGCUAACGCGUUAAGCAUCCCGCCUGGGGAGUACGGUCGCAAGACUG